UACGGAGGAUCCAAGCGUUAUCCGGAUUUAUUGGGUUUAAAGGGCGCGUAGGCGGGCUCUCAAGUCGGGGGUGAAAUCCCACCGCUCAACGGUGGAAGUGCCCCCGAUACUGGGAGCCUGGAGGGAGGUAGGGGUGUGUGGAACUUCCGGUGGAGCGGUGAAAUGCGUAGAUAUCGGAAGGAACGCCGGUGGCGAAAGCGACGCACUGGACCUCUUCUGACGCUGAGGCGCGAAAGCCAGGGGAGCAAACGGG
RNAcentral lists this ribosomal RNA (253 nucleotides) under uncultured bacterium. RNAcentral describes it as "partial 16S ribosomal RNA". It matches the Rfam family "Bacterial small subunit ribosomal RNA", at positions 524 to 776 of the family's 1533-position model. The record is from RNAcentral.